This 1218-nucleotide long non-coding RNA is filed under the name Homo sapiens (human). Its description in RNAcentral is "HSALNT0302958". Lineage: Eukaryota; Metazoa; Chordata; Mammalia; Primates; Hominidae. The record is from RNAcentral.
GAGCAGAUCGGGGGACCACGGGAUGGGAAGGGUGGACAUGGCUCUGACAGCAACAAUGUAACACCCAUGCAACGAGUCUGCGAGGCCGAAUGGAAGCCAGCUGGCUGCAGGGGAGAGAGCAAGAGAGUCUGGCAGAAGGUGCACCUGGAGAAGGAAGUAGAGGCCAGGCCAGUGUGGAGGGAACUGGGAGGACCUGUCUGACCACAAACAACCCACCUGAGGAGGCCCUGCUGCUCCCGGAGGGUGCUCCUGCCAGAGUUCUCCUAGUUCCUUGCAAGGAGCCCUGGAAAAACAAUCCCACCCUGGGUCUAACAUAGUCUCGGGGACUUUUAAACCAAUGCCCAGCUAGAAAAAACAUCUCAGGCAGUUCGCGGAUAGAAGAGGAAAUAAUAUUAAGAGCCUGCCAUAUGUUGAAUGUUUACUAUGUCUCAGCAGCAUAUAAAUGCUUUAGUUUCUUACAGAAGCCCUCCAAGCAUAUGCUUACAAAAUUUGAAGACCACAACCACUCUCCAAAUACAAAUGCAGCAAGUGAUUUGAAGAUCAUAGAAAUGAUAAUACAGGCAAAAAAUGCAAGAAAUCUCCCCUGCCAAAUUAUUCAACUAUGUAUGACUUCUGCCUUUUCACAGCGCCAAUUUGCCAUGCUAUGCGUUUCAUCUUUGCAUCAUUUUCAAUACUGGAUGUAUAAAUUGUGUAAAGACUUUCAGAGUUCUAAUUCAUUUUAUGCAUUUUUUGCAAAUUUGAUUCCAUGAAAGUGCAUUAUCACAUCAUCGACUGUGUGUAAUCAUUGUGUGUGCAUAUAAAAAUGAAGAGAUAAAUGAAGAGAUGUUCGUUUUAUACAUCUGCAUUUGUAAAAUAUAAAAUUUCUUAAGAUCUUGGCUGUUUGGGAGACUGCGUAUGUAGUGGUGACCUAUCAUGGUUUUUGAUCAAUCUUGUCAAAAGACUUAGCUUGUCUGUCAUGGCAUUUCAGAUGAGUGAAUUUCAGAUGUUAUAAAGCUGGGUGCACACAAUUGCCAACCACAGUGAUAUAUAUUUAUACAUUUUGCUUUUUGACAUACUUCUUUAUGAGUAUGGUUUGUCUGCUCAUAAUUUUUAUACUCUUGCAACUGUUGUUAGUAUACCUGAGUGCUUAUGUUUGCAAAUGUAUGUAUGUUAUUAAUGCCUAUUUUGUUGUAUACAAUGGCCUAUGAAGUGUUCUGUUGUGUUUUUAUGUUUAUCAAA